Molecule: microRNA, 21 nt
Filed under: Rattus norvegicus (Norway rat)
Lineage: Eukaryota; Metazoa; Chordata; Mammalia; Rodentia; Muridae
Description: rno-miR-3561-3p
Source: miRBase by way of RNAcentral
UAUCCAGGGUAGACACUCAGA